This 72-nucleotide transfer RNA is filed under the name Ictidomys tridecemlineatus (thirteen-lined ground squirrel). RNAcentral describes it as "Spermophilus tridecemlineatus (thirteen-lined ground squirrel) tRNA". It matches the Rfam family "tRNA". Rfam says of the family: Transfer RNA (tRNA) molecules are approximately 80 nucleotides in length. Their secondary structure includes four short double-helical elements and three loops (D, anti-codon, and T loops). The record is from Rfam by way of RNAcentral. Lineage: Eukaryota; Metazoa; Chordata; Mammalia; Rodentia; Sciuridae.
GGGGAUAUAGCUCAGUUGUAGAGUACUUGCUUUUCAAGCACAAGGCCCUGGGUUCAAUCCCCAUCAUCACUC